UACGAAGGGGGCUAGCGUUGCUCGGAAUGACUGGGCGUAAAGGGCGCGUAGGCGGCGGACACAGUCAGGCGUGAAAUUCCUGGGCUCAACCUGGGGGCUGCGUUUGAGACGUGUUUGCUAGAGUUCGGAAGAGGGUCGUGGAAUUCCCAGUGUAGAGGUGAAAUUCGUAGAUAUUGGGAAGAACACCGGUGGCGAAGGCGGCGACCUGGUCCUUGACUGACGCUGAGGCGCGAAAGCGUGGGGAGCAAACAGG
Molecule: ribosomal RNA, 253 nt
Filed under: uncultured bacterium
Lineage: Bacteria
Description: partial 16S ribosomal RNA
Rfam family: Bacterial small subunit ribosomal RNA
Source: RNAcentral